CUCAGAGCCUUGGCACUUGUGAAGCAGGCACAGUGCCACUGAGCUAAAUUCCCAGUCCAGUUUUUCUGGAACACCUGCCAUGUUUGGAGAGCUCCAAAAACAUAGGCUGCCAAGAGGAAGAGCAGG
RNAcentral lists this long non-coding RNA (126 nucleotides) under Fukomys damarensis (Damara mole-rat). RNAcentral's name for it is "lncRNA (ENSFDAG00000032404.1)". Lineage: Eukaryota; Metazoa; Chordata; Mammalia; Rodentia; Bathyergidae. The record is from RNAcentral.